This 83-nucleotide transfer RNA is filed under the name Candidatus Pelagibacter sp. Its description in RNAcentral is "tRNA-Leu". It matches the Rfam family "tRNA". From Rfam's summary of the family: Transfer RNA (tRNA) molecules are approximately 80 nucleotides in length. Their secondary structure includes four short double-helical elements and three loops (D, anti-codon, and T loops). Further hydrogen bonds mediate the characteristic L-shaped molecular structure. tRNAs have two regions of fundamental functional importance: the anti-codon, which is responsible for specific mRNA codon recognition, and the 3' end, to which the tRNAs corresponding amino acid is attached (by aminoacyl-tRNA synthetases). tRNAs cope with the degeneracy of the genetic code in two manners: having more than one tRNA (with a specific anti-codon) for a particular amino acid; and 'wobble' base-pairing, i.e. permitting non-standard base-pairing at the 3rd anti-codon position. Lineage: Bacteria; Pseudomonadati; Pseudomonadota; Alphaproteobacteria; Candidatus Pelagibacterales; Candidatus Pelagibacteraceae. The record is from RNAcentral.
GGGCGAAUGGCGGAACUGGUAGACGCAGUGGAUUCAAAAUCCACCGGGAAACCAUAAGGGUUCGAAUCCCUUUUUGCCCACCA